Molecule: long non-coding RNA, 958 nt
Filed under: Oryza brachyantha (malo sina)
Lineage: Eukaryota; Viridiplantae; Streptophyta; Magnoliopsida; Poales; Poaceae
Description: long non-coding RNA (OBRA_LNC002679)
Source: RNAcentral
UAUUUAUAAUUUUUUUGUUUGCAAAUAUGUCAUUUGAUUUUUUUCCAACGAAAGCCAAAUGAUCGCACCCUUAUAUUUAGAAAACACCCAUGACCAAAGAGUUAAUUUCACUUUGGACUAUUUGUGAUGACCAAAGUUGCAAAAUAGAUCAGAGAUAGGCCAACCUUUUCACUUGACACUGAUUAAAAUCCAUUGCGAGAGGUGUCCACCACCACUGUGCUUUACACCAACUAGUGACUGUCUAUCAACAUUAGAAGAGCUAACGAUGAAUAUAAUGACACCAUCUCUAUAUGAAACUCCUGCUAUUGAAGAAGCAGGAACUCUGUGACCAAAGAUGACUAGAGGUAUACAAGUUAGAUGCAUGGAUAGUAACGAAGACCAUAGCUGCUGAAAACUGUUGGCACUCUGCCAAAGAUAAAGAGGAAAAAAUACGAAAGUAUGCCUUGAUAUGAUGAACAAUAUUAUGAUCAAGCAUUUUCCACAACCGAGAAAAACAAGUCUGAUUCAACUAUAUCAGGAGAGGAGGAAGACAGAAAUUUGGGGAAAUGCACGAGGUGGUCUAAAACAUAUUAAAACAUUGGCUUGGACUAGAAGAGGAUAAAUCUAUGUUGACCUAACUAUUUUUAAGUCCAUGUUCAAUUGUACACUCCAAACAUACCCAAUUGGCUUACUUGAAUAGGACCAACCCUACGUUAACUAGCUCGUACAACUCUGAUACACAAUCUGGGAAGCAAAAACUGUCAUACUGAUCCUUCUCAAUUUCUUGGACUGGUCAUGGCCGUCAAUGCUUAUCUAUAGCCAACUAGUGCUAGCUAUAAUUCAUCUUUGAGCUAUUUAUUUUUCUAGUAUGUCGUAGUAUAUCUACCAAGACAAAAAUGUGGGAUAACCUUCAGAUCCUGAUGCUUCCCAAUCAUAUCCUCUAAGAUCAUGUUGUAGGAGUAUGUAUGCAUUCCCAUCC